RNAcentral lists this ribosomal RNA (400 nucleotides) under Minervarya krishnan. RNAcentral's name for it is "Fejervarya krishnan partial 16S ribosomal RNA". It matches the Rfam family "Bacterial large subunit ribosomal RNA", at positions 2008 to 2573 of the family's 2925-position model. Lineage: Eukaryota; Metazoa; Chordata; Amphibia; Anura; Dicroglossidae. The record is from RNAcentral.
GGAUUUUACUGUCUCCUUUCUCCUAUCGGUGAAACUGAUCUUCCCGUGAAGAAGCGGGAAUAAACCUAUAAGACGAGAAGACCCCAUGGAGCUUUAAACCCAGAGACAUCUCAAACCCUCCACCCCCCAAAAGUUUUUAUGCAUUGUCCCCUGGUUUUAGGUUGGGGUGACCGCGGAGCACAACUUAACCUCCACAGCGUACGGAGCUUCCUCCUUAUCCAAGAGCCACAUCUCAAAGAAUUUGUAUAUGAACGUAAAAUGACCCAAUAAUUUUGAUCAAUGAACCAAGUUACCCUGGGGAUAACAGCGCAAUCCAUUUCUAGAGCCCUUAUCGACAAAUGGGUUUACGACCUCGAUGUUGGAUCAGGGCAUCCCAGUGGUGCAGCCGCUACUAAUGGUU